RNAcentral lists this transfer RNA (59 nucleotides) under Globisporangium ultimum DAOM BR144. Its description in RNAcentral is "Pythium ultimum DAOM BR144 tRNA". It matches the Rfam family "tRNA", at positions 14 to 71 of the family's 71-position model. From Rfam's summary of the family: Transfer RNA (tRNA) molecules are approximately 80 nucleotides in length. Their secondary structure includes four short double-helical elements and three loops (D, anti-codon, and T loops). Further hydrogen bonds mediate the characteristic L-shaped molecular structure. tRNAs have two regions of fundamental functional importance: the anti-codon, which is responsible for specific mRNA codon recognition, and the 3' end, to which the tRNAs corresponding amino acid is attached (by aminoacyl-tRNA synthetases). tRNAs cope with the degeneracy of the genetic code in two manners: having more than one tRNA (with a specific anti-codon) for a particular amino acid; and 'wobble' base-pairing, i.e. permitting non-standard base-pairing at the 3rd anti-codon position. Lineage: Eukaryota; Oomycota; Peronosporomycetes; Pythiales; Pythiaceae. The record is from Rfam by way of RNAcentral.
AAUGGUAGAGCGCUCGCUUAGCAUGCGAGAGGUACUGGGAUCGAUACCCAGCUUCUCCA